This 253-nucleotide ribosomal RNA is filed under the name uncultured bacterium. Its description in RNAcentral is "partial 16S ribosomal RNA". It matches the Rfam family "Bacterial small subunit ribosomal RNA", at positions 524 to 776 of the family's 1533-position model. The record is from RNAcentral.
UACAGAGGUGGCAAGCGUUGUUCGGAAUUACUGGGCGUAAAGCGCACGUAGGCGGCUUUGUAAGUUAGAGGUGAAAGCCCGGGGCUCAACCCCGGAAUUGCCUUUAAGACUGCAUCGCUUGAAUCCGGGAGAGGUGAGUGGAAUUCCGAGUGUAGAGGUGAAAUUCGUAGAUAUUCGGAAGAACACCAGUGGCGAAGGCGGCUCACUGGACCGGCAUUGACGCUGAGGUGCGAAAGCGUGGGGAGCAAACAGG